UACGGGAGGCAGCAGUGGGGGAUAUUGCACAAUGGGGGAAACCCUGAUGCAGCGACGCCGCGUGAGCGAAGAAGUAUUUCGGUAUGUAAAGCUCUAUCAGCAGGGAAGAAAAAAAUGACGGUACCUGACUAAGAAGCCCCGGCUAACUACGUGCCAGCAGCCGCGGUAAU
Molecule: ribosomal RNA, 170 nt
Filed under: uncultured rumen bacterium
Lineage: Bacteria
Description: partial 16S ribosomal RNA
Rfam family: Bacterial small subunit ribosomal RNA
Source: RNAcentral